Ciona savignyi (Pacific transparent sea squirt) is the source of this 72-nucleotide non-coding RNA. The record is from Rfam. Lineage: Eukaryota; Metazoa; Chordata; Ascidiacea; Phlebobranchia; Cionidae.
UCCUCGUUAGUAUAGUGGUGAGCAUCCCCGCCUGUCACGCGGGAGACCGGGGUUCGAUUCCCCGACGGGGAG